This 239-nucleotide unclassified non-coding RNA is filed under the name Rhizophagus sp. (in: glomeromycetes). RNAcentral's name for it is "partial contains 5.8S ribosomal RNA and internal transcribed spacer 2". The stretch from base 1 to 65 matches the Rfam family "5.8S ribosomal RNA", at positions 84 to 154 of the family's 154-position model. Lineage: Eukaryota; Fungi; Glomeromycota; Glomeromycetes; Glomerales; Glomeraceae. The record is from RNAcentral.
GUGAAUCAUCAAAUCUUUGAACGCAAAUUGCACUCUCUUCGGAGAGUAUGCCUGUUUGAGGGUCAGUAUUAAUAAAAAUCGGUGUGUUGCUUCUUUGUGACGCUCCGGAGUUUGGGUCAUCUUAAUAUCCUUUAGGUUUUAAGAGGCUUAAAAUUGACUUUUUUUGCGCAUUUUAGGUGUACAUAAAUUCUUUUUUUAUUCCUUUGCCCUUAUUGUUAAAAUCCUUAUUGAAUCGAACC